RNAcentral lists this long non-coding RNA (722 nucleotides) under Olea europaea subsp. europaea. Lineage: Eukaryota; Viridiplantae; Streptophyta; Magnoliopsida; Lamiales; Oleaceae. The record is from RNAcentral.
CAUGUUAUACCAGGCAGGGGCGGAUCCAGGGGUCCGCCAGCUAGGGCGGUCGCCCUAGCUGGAUUCGCCGGAGCCGCCGGAGGAAGAGAGACAGAGACGCAUGGGAAGAAAGAAGAAGAGGAGCCGCCCUAGCUGGAUUCUCUGGAGCCGCCAGAGAAAGAGAGACAAAGAAGCAUGGGAAGAAAGAAGAAGAGGAAGAGAGGAUCAUCCAUGUGGAUUUUAAUUUUCUUUUUACCUGCAAGUGAUCGCCCAGGAAAGCCAAUUCACUAUGUGACUGUGUAAGAGAGAAUUUACACAGAGAAGAUGAAGAGAAAGAUGAGGCCGUGGCGUGUUUGGUAAAGAUCAAUAGUAGCUAGGCUUUGACUUUUGUUUGAAAUUUGCAUAGAUAGAUGAUACGUGCAUGGCUGGAGAUCAAGUGGAGAAUAAUGGGCAUAGAUGCAGCAGCUACGUGGAAGUGAGUCCAAUUCCAAACCACACGUGGAAGCCCAUGACCAAGUCCAUGCAUUAGGAUUUGUUUUUUUCAUUUGUUUAUAGGAAUCUGUUAGACCGAGUAGUGUUUGCAUUUCCGUUAGUUUGUUUUGGCACGUUCGUUUCUUCCUCCUAUAUUGUAGCACCAGUCACGGUAGUUUCUAUAUAUUUCACUUGAUUAGUGGGUUGUAACUUUGCCUAUUUAAAUGGCACAAAAUGAAGGAGAAAGGCAGUGAAAUAUUUUAUCCAAAAAA